UUUUAAAGCUGUUGAUAAAUUUGUUAGUUAAGUAUCUGAAUCUUGAAAAUUUAAAGUUGAAACUAGGAUUAGAUACCCUAUUAUUUUAAAUGUAGGUUUUAACGCUAAGGUAGUAUUAGUUAUGUUCUUGAAACUUAAAAAAUUUGGCGGUAUUUUAGUCUAUUCAGAGGAACCUGUUCUGUAAUCGAUAGUCCACGUUGGAUCUUACUUAAUUUUGUUUUUCAAUUUGUAUACCGCCGUUAUUGAAUAUUUUAUUAGAACAAUAAUUUUCAAUAAUUUUUAUUGGAAUUAAUAUCAGGUCAAGGUGCAGUUUAUGGUUAAGUAGAAAUGGGUUACAAUAAAUUUAUUUAUUACGGAUGAUUUUAUGAAAUUGAAAUUUGAAGGUGGAUUUGAUAGUAAAGUUGAAUAGAUUAUCAAUUUGAUUUUGGCUCUAAAAUAUGUAC
RNAcentral lists this ribosomal RNA (443 nucleotides) under Stenopogon sabaudus. Its description in RNAcentral is "partial small subunit ribosomal RNA". Lineage: Eukaryota; Metazoa; Arthropoda; Insecta; Diptera; Asilidae. The record is from RNAcentral.